ACAAAUGAAAGAAGAACAUCUUGAAUUUAUACAAUGACUGGGAGAAGGCUUAAUGUGUUCUUAGAACUGUAACUCCUAUUUGGAGAGAUUGCAAAAAGGAGCACCAGGGACAGAACCCUUGGAAGAGCCACAGGGGAUGGCAAAUGGCUCUCUCUGCUGGCUGAGCAUGUGAGCAGUCCGUACGACCAAGAUCAUUGUUGUCUCCAGCAGUGGAGAGCACCAGUUGCAGGAAUUUCAUCAGGGGCAUACAAGUCGUGGAUUUGACUGGGACAAUUUCUUGUACAUUUCCAUUGUUUUUAACAAGAGGAGGAAGCUGUGCUGUGAAGGAUCCUUUUUCAUCAUGAUUAUUGCAUCCACAGAAGCAGUGAUAAAUUCUAAUAGAUAAUGCAACUCAGUCUACUUGGAUGUUCACACCUGAGACUGGAGAAGACCUGCUGCCUUCUGCAGAGCCAAACAUUCCUCACAUGCUCCUUCACAAUGCUGCGAGCCAUAUUUAUUCAUUUAAAAGCUAGUACCUCGCUAUUUCUUGUACAUUAAUUCUUUUAAAACGUUUACAAAACAAACUAAAUUUAAAGAGGAAAUUAUUUACUGAUAGAACUAAUGGCCUGAAAAUAGUUGCCCAACAUAGCAUCGCACAUAGCAACAGGAAGUAGUUUAUAUACUAGGAAGUCUCUUUAAAAUGUGCUUGGAUAUUGCCAAAAUUCUCUGCCUUAUAAACUAAGGAGUUCUUUUUUUUUAUUUUUUAGAGUUAAUGCAGCAAGAAUAGUCUUAUAUAGACUAUAAACUCCUGGUACACUGUGUCUACAUUGCUCACUGCAGUAUCCCAACAUCUAAGACCAUGGUCUUAGAUGUCUGGUACAGGACUGGUGCUCAGUAUGCAUUGAAUGAAUAAAUGAAUGAAUAUAGCAAAGC
Molecule: long non-coding RNA, 912 nt
Organism: Pan troglodytes (chimpanzee)
Lineage: Eukaryota; Metazoa; Chordata; Mammalia; Primates; Hominidae
Exons: 4
Source: RefSeq, a predicted model, not a curated record